GUCCACGCCGUAAACGAUGGAUACUAGCUGUUGGGCGCAAGUUCAGUGGCUAAGCGAAAGUGAUAAGUAUCCCACCUGGGGAGUACGUUCGCAAGAAUGAAAACUCAAAAGGAAUUGACGGGGGCCCGCACAAGCGGUGGAGCAUGUGGUUUAAUUCGAUGAUACGCGAGGAACAUUACCAAGGCUUAAAUGUAGAUUGACCGAUUUGGAAACAGAUCUUUCGCAAGACAAUUUACAAGGUGCUGCAUGGUUGUCGU
This 257-nucleotide ribosomal RNA is filed under the name uncultured bacterium. RNAcentral's name for it is "partial 16S ribosomal RNA". It matches the Rfam family "Bacterial small subunit ribosomal RNA", at positions 793 to 1055 of the family's 1533-position model. The record is from RNAcentral.